UAUAAAGCCAAUAAGGCUUCGCUUGCUGAUUAUUAUGAAAAUAAAAAAUUACUUAAAUAAAAUUUGUUCUAUACGAAAUAAAUAAAUGGCGUCCAUAGUGGAGCAUACAUGUUUUUAUUUCGCUCCGCCACCUCGUAAUAGAUACUUAUUUAUAAGUAAAUUUUACCGCCACUCAGGACCAAUGGCCAACCAGUUCCCGCGACGAUCGGUUCUUUGCACCGGAACGAGCUUGCUCACUUACAGGAGCUUGACGAGGAUCGCCAUCUCCCCAUAAACAACUAGACUACCUGCUUCGGUGUCAUCCUCUCUUGUUUUGUUAUUGUAUGAUGGCCCCCCUAGCAGUAGAGUUUUGCACGAAUUAUUAGAGCUUUUUGUAUCAUCGAUAACAUUCCCGAUGUGUCGAAAAUUCAGUACCAGGUCUUGCAGAAUACGAAAAUAUAUUCGAAAUUCGGUCGACAGAAUAGUAUACGGUAAGGCCAUAAUGCAAUGGUGUGAACAUGUGUAAAUGCUCAAGCCUUUGCUAUUGCCUACUAAAGUUAUUUGUUUGGGCGAAGGAUUUUAAGUUGGAUUGGACAAUCGGCAAGGUUAUCUGAUGACUGUAGUGCAGAUCAAGGGAAGGUAUUGCAAAUCGAAAACGUAUUGGAGUGUAUAAAUAAUUUUUCAAAAUGGAUACCGAUGAUCGCCAAUGAGAUGGUUGAACCGUUUGACUUGUACUGGCUACAAAUAAAUUGUGAAGCAGCGAGCUUGCCUCUAGAGAAAAGUUGUCACAGUUUAUCGUGUGUUUCAUCCUUAAUUUGCUUACUGGGUACUGCAUAAUAUUUUAAUAUUGGAAUUCUGCAACUUGGAUGGUAUGCGACCAGAGCGAUUUAAUAGAUGAGUAAGAUUGGCAGGGAAGAUGAACACAUAUAUAGCCAUUGGCAGCAAUCAUAGCCCAGAAAGAAUUGCCGAAGUAGGUUAUUUCUUUCAGGUGUUUAGUCGACGGAUUGUCUUCAUGAAAGGCAUUCGCUUAUAAUUUGUGCACUCCUUCCUCCUCGAGCAUGCUAUUUACAACAAUCUGAUUUCCUGCUUGGCCUAGAUGCUUCUUUUUGUAGCCUUGAAACCGUCGGUCCAGCUCAGGAAGAUUCAAAAUUAGUUAUCCGAGAAGUGGUUGUUUGGUUAAUCCUCAAGGUGGCGAAUUGGAUGGCUGCUGCGAUAUCUGAUCAGUAGAUACUACUUACACAACCUAUAAUUGUGCUUUCGCACAUCAAGGAUCUAUGUAUGCUAAUGGAUAUGGACCCUAAAGACCCUAAGACUUUAAAAUAUUAUAAUAAUUUUGUUCUUAAGUAUAAAUAUAUAAUAUUAAAUGAAUGACUAUUCAGUUGAGACAAUUUCAAUGAAAAAUAUAUAAUAAUUUUAAUAAUAAAUUACAUGGAACAAGAUAUGAAUUAACACAAAACAAUGGUUGCCUACUCUUAUAACUUCAGAAACAUAAAGUAGCUGAGCACAGUAAUUAAAAUUCUGAAAUUUGAUAUCAAUAA
Long non-coding RNA from Stomoxys calcitrans (stable fly), 1517 nucleotides. RefSeq lists it as uncharacterized. The transcript is spliced from 4 exons. Lineage: Eukaryota; Metazoa; Arthropoda; Insecta; Diptera; Muscidae. The record is from RefSeq and is a predicted model, not a curated record.